UGCCUACGGGAGGCAGCAGUGGGGAAUAUUGGGCAAUGGGGGAAACCCUGACCCAGCGACGCCGCGUGAGGGAAGAAGGUUUUCGGAUUGUAAACCUCUGUCCUUGGUGACGAUAAUGACGGUAGCCAAGGAGGAAGCCACGGCUGACUACGUGCCAGCAGCCGCGGUAAUUCGUAGGUGGCGAGCGUUAUCCGGAAUGAUUGGGCGUAAAGGGUGCGUAGGCGGCCUGCUAAGUCUGGAGUGAAAGGUACCGGCUCAACCGGUACAGGCUCUGGAAACUGGCGGGCUAGAGAGCAGGAGAGGGG
This 305-nucleotide ribosomal RNA is filed under the name uncultured bacterium. Its description in RNAcentral is "bacterial SSU rRNA". It matches the Rfam family "Bacterial small subunit ribosomal RNA", at positions 335 to 659 of the family's 1533-position model. The record is from RNAcentral.